Molecule: ribosomal RNA, 355 nt
Filed under: uncultured Syntrophus sp.
Lineage: Bacteria; Pseudomonadati; Thermodesulfobacteriota; Syntrophia; Syntrophales; Syntrophaceae
Description: bacterial SSU rRNA
Rfam family: Bacterial small subunit ribosomal RNA
Source: RNAcentral
CCAGGAGACAGGUGCUGCAUUGGCUGUCGUCAGCUCGUGUCGUGAGAUGUUGGGUUAAGUCCCGCAACGAGCGCAACCCUUGUCUUUAAUUGCCAUCAUUCAGUUGGGCACUUUAAAGAGACUGCCGGUGUUUAAACCGGAGGAAGGUGGGAUGACGUCAAGUCCUCAUGGCCUUUAUGCCCAGGGCUACGCACGUGCUACAAUGGGUGGUACAAAGAGAUGCAAUCUCGCAAGAGCAAGCAAACCUCAAAAAGCCAUCCUCAGUUCGGAUUGGAGUCUGCAACUCGACUCCAUGAAGUCGGAAUCGCUAGUAAUCGCGGAUCAGCACGCCGCGGUGAAUACGUUCCCGGGCCUU